GAGGGCAGGCCCCUCGUAACCGUCUUACAGGAGAUGGUUGCAAACCAGUAUAUGCUGCUUUUUCCCCAUGGUUAAGGUAGUGAACAAUAUACGAAAAGGCAAUAUCUAAAUUGCCAGGU
Molecule: non-coding RNA, 119 nt
Organism: Bacteroidia bacterium 44-10
Lineage: Bacteria; Pseudomonadati; Bacteroidota; Bacteroidia
Source: Rfam